RNAcentral lists this ribosomal RNA (253 nucleotides) under uncultured bacterium. RNAcentral's name for it is "partial 16S ribosomal RNA". It matches the Rfam family "Bacterial small subunit ribosomal RNA", at positions 524 to 776 of the family's 1533-position model. The record is from RNAcentral.
UACGUAGGGCGCAAGCGUUAUCCGGAAUUAUUGGGCGUAAAGAGCUCGUAGGCGGCUUGUCGCGUCGUCCGUGAAAACUUGGGGCUCAACCCCAAGCUUGCGGUCGAUACGGGCAGGCUCGAGUUCGGUAGGGGAGACUGGAAUUCCUGGUGUAGCGGUGAAAUGCGCAGAUAUCAGGAGGAACACCGGUGGCGAAGGCGGGUCUCUGGGCCGAUACUGACGCUGAGGAGCGAAAGCGUGGGGAGCGAACAGG